This 407-nucleotide ribosomal RNA is filed under the name uncultured bacterium. RNAcentral describes it as "partial 16S ribosomal RNA". It matches the Rfam family "Bacterial small subunit ribosomal RNA", at positions 30 to 526 of the family's 1533-position model. The record is from RNAcentral.
AUUGAACGCUGGCGGCAGGCCUAACACAUGCAAGUCGAGCGGAGCGGCGGACGGGUGAGUAAUGCCUAGGAAUCUGCCUGGUAGUGGGGGAUAACGUCCGGAAACGGGCGCUAAUACCGCAUACUAUCAGAUGAGCCUAGGUCGGCUUAGCUAGUUGGUGGGGUAAAGGCCUACCAAGUCGACGAUCCGUAACUGGUCUGAGAGGAUGAUCAGUCACACGGGAACUGAGACACGGUCCAGACUCCUACGGGAGGCAGCAGUGGGGAAUAUUGGACAAUGGGCGAAAGCCUGAUACAGCCAUGCCGCGUGUAUGAAGAAGGCCUUCGGGUUGUAAAGUACUUUCAGUCGGGAGGCGUUACCGACAGAAGAAGCACCGGCUAACUCCGUGCCAGCAGCCGCGGUAAUAC